UUUGCUCACCCAAAGAACAACUGUAGCAUCACAAGUCAACAUUGCUGCCCUGUAAUCCUCCUCUAGCUAACACUGCCACAAAAAACAAGUGAUGAGAGCCAGGCUGGCAAAGUUGUCAUGGUGAAAAGGGGACAAAAACUAAGGCUGCCCUUCCCUGGCAGAAUCCCAGCUGGAAUGCAGCACUACAAACACCAUCUGCUUUCUCCUGCAAACAAGCCCUUACAGGGUGCAGUGGCCCUGCCUGUUGGAGGAGGAGGGAAAUUCUGCCCCGUUUAUCACAACCACUGUGGAUUUGGACUCGGCCUUUGCUUGUCUGGCCUCAGGAAAAGGGAAAGUUCCCUGACCUGCAUGGAGGGAGUGCCCACAGGCUAG
This 372-nucleotide long non-coding RNA is filed under the name Taeniopygia guttata (zebra finch). RNAcentral describes it as "lncRNA (ENSTGUG00000028471.1)". Lineage: Eukaryota; Metazoa; Chordata; Aves; Passeriformes; Estrildidae. The record is from RNAcentral.